Molecule: ribosomal RNA, 403 nt
Filed under: Verrucomicrobiota bacterium
Lineage: Bacteria; Pseudomonadati; Verrucomicrobiota
Description: Verrucomicrobia bacterium partial 16S ribosomal RNA
Rfam family: Bacterial small subunit ribosomal RNA
Source: RNAcentral
UGGGGAAUAUUGCACAAUGGGCGCAAGCCUGAUGCAGCAACGCCGCGUGAACGAUGAAGGUCUUCGGAUCGUAACGUUCUGUUGCAGGGGAAGAUAAUGACGGUACCCUGUGAGGAAGCCCCGGCUAACUACGUGCCAGCAGCCGCGGUAAUACGUAGGGGGCUGGCGUUAUCCGGAUUUACUGGGCGUAAAGGGUGCGUAGGUGGUCUUUCAAGUCGGUGGUUAAAGGCUACGGCUCAACCGUAGUUAGCCUCCGAAACUGGAAGACUUGAGUGCAGGGGAGGAGAGUGGAAUUCCCAGUGUGGCGGUGAGAUGCGUAGAGAUUGGGAGGAACACAAGUAGCGAAGGCGGCUUUCUGGACUGCAACUGACACUGAGGCACGAAAGCGUGGGUAGCAAACAGG